GUGCCAGCAGCCGCGGUAAUACGUAGGGUGCGAGCGUUAAUCGGAAUUACUGGGCGUAAAGCGUGCGCAGGCGGCGGCUCAAGUCAGGUGUGAAAUCCCCGGGCUUAACCUGGGAAUUGCGCUUGAAACUAGGUCGCUAGAGUGUGGCAGAGGGGGGUGGAAUUCCACGUGUAGCAGUGAAAUGCGUAGAGAUGUGGAGGAACACCGAUGGCGAAGGCAGCCCCCUGGGUCAACACUGACGCUCAUGCACGAAAGCGUGGGGAGCAAACAGGAUUAGAAACCCUAGUAGUCC
RNAcentral lists this ribosomal RNA (292 nucleotides) under uncultured bacterium. RNAcentral's name for it is "partial 16S ribosomal RNA". It matches the Rfam family "Bacterial small subunit ribosomal RNA", at positions 505 to 796 of the family's 1533-position model. The record is from RNAcentral.